This 448-nucleotide ribosomal RNA is filed under the name uncultured bacterium. Its description in RNAcentral is "bacterial SSU rRNA". It matches the Rfam family "Bacterial small subunit ribosomal RNA", at positions 328 to 792 of the family's 1533-position model. The record is from RNAcentral.
AAGCCAGACUCCUACGGGAGGCAGCAGUGGGGAAUAUUGCACAAUGGGGGGAACCCUGAUGCAGCGACGCCGCGUGGGUGAAGGAGUAUUUCGGUAUGUAAAGCCCUAUCAGCAGGGAAGAACAAUGACGGUACCUGACUAAGAAGCACCGGCUAAAUACGUGCCAGCAGCCGCGGUAAUACGUAUGGUGCAAGCGUUAUCCGGAUUUACUGGGUGUAAAGGGAGCGCAGGCGGCGCGUUAAGCCUGGUGUGAAAGCCCGCGGCCCAACCGCGGGACUGCAUUGGGAACUGGCGCGCUGGAGUGCCGGAGGGGUAGGCGGAAUUCCUGGUGUAGCGGCGAAAUGCGUAGAUAUCAGGAGGAACACCGGCGGCGAAGGCGGCCUGCUGGACCGCGACUGACGUUGAGGCUCGAAAGCGUGGGGAGCGAACAGGAUUAGAUACCCGAGUA